Long non-coding RNA from Felis catus (domestic cat), 8968 nucleotides. RefSeq lists it as uncharacterized. The transcript is spliced from 4 exons. NCBI's taxonomy places the organism in Eukaryota, Metazoa, Chordata, Mammalia, Carnivora, Felidae. The record is from RefSeq and is a predicted model, not a curated record.
GCUCUGAGCAAGCUGUCAGCACAGAGCCCGACGCGGGGCUCGAACUCACAAACUGCGAGAUCGUGACCUGAGCCAAAGUCGGACGCUCAACCCACUGAGCCACCCAGGCGCCCCCGAAAAGGGCUCAUUUUUAAUGAAGGGGAUUCACCUACAUGGUGAAACUUUAGGCAGGGACUUUUUCCCCCAAAAGUUCCACAAUUGACUCAACUUGGGAAUCCCUAAUGAUUCCUUUUGGCCUGAGGCAGUGCUUCCCCUAGAGACCUCCACGAUAUGAAGCACCACUCACUCAAGGAGACCCUGGCCCAGUAAUGUGGCCUCCAUGUUGGGUUGGUAGGUAUCAGAAGGGUUCCUGUGUCUCUGGAUGGUUCAGUUUCUCAAAUUCGGUUCUCAAGCAAUGAUCUGUGAAGACCUCAGUGAGGUGGAAGCUAGAAGCAGGCACACCAGGGAAUUAAAGCGUAAAAGGAAUACUUUGCAUUGGUAAGCCAUCUGCAGCUAAUAUCUUCUGUCUCCCCGAGUCUUCCCCAGUGUGGGGGGACCCGCCACCGCCUCCAUCAGCAUCACCAUUACCCUCUGUCGUCGUGAUUUCAGCCACAGUCUGCGUCAACAACUAUCAGGCCGAGCUGGAAGAUGCCAGAAAAUGCUUUGGGCAAGCCGACUUCAAAUGAAAACAAAAACAGAAACAAACACGUACUGGUCACCAAUCAACCGGUGGGUUUCUUGGAAACAAUUUCUGAACCCAUGGAGAUUGAAAGCAGGCUAACCUCUCUUUGCUACGAAAAUACCGCAGGCUAGUUUCAAGAAAGGACAGGGACGUGAGGCCUGGAAAUACCCGUUGUUAAUGGUAGGAUACUUUGAAAUGAAUUGCUGCUACGUUUGACCUAUUCUGAAUUUUAUAGGUUCAACGUGGGUGAGAGAAAAGUGACUCACCUGCAGAGAAAAAAAAAAAAAUUUCCCAGAGGAUUUUUGGUUUCUAAAUGGGGCCCCUAUUUGAGUCAACCCAAAUCCUGCCAUGCUGUCGUAGGGUGGAUGGAGCGAAAUCAAAAGAGGGGGAGUUUUUCACCUCUGUUAAUGCUCAUGCGCACACCAUUCUUUCUCUUCAUAAAGCAGAGACCUCGAAGGUUGUUGUGAAUCCCCUCCCCCACCAUGUAUCGUGCUGUCUCAGGAAAGCAGACAGCCACGAAGGGAAAGAGAAAACUGGAAGGCCCGAGAAGUUGUAUGAAAGAAAGCAGCAUGGGUAAUUAUGUCACAAUAUAUCCUUGGGUGAGUUUCCUUUGGUCCCAGAGACCAUCGCACAUUUCAACUGAAGUAGGCUCCAUUUAGAAUUCAUUUCUGUCUAAACCCAAUCACGUCUUCUCCGCCUGGAGCAUCCCCAAUUUUUUUUUUUUUUUGAGGUUAAAGCUAUGAACAACGUCUUCUCUUGGGUGUCCCUUGAGCAGAGCUGGAGGGCUUGAGUCAGGUCGACUGGGGAAGUGAUUCUAGGAACAGAAGUCAGGGCGCUGGGGAGAGUAGAACAGAGAAGGAAGAGAAGACAAUCUGUGGAUGUAACUUGAGUUAGUAUGCACGGUGGUUUGAGAAUAUGGUUGCACAUUUUUGACACUCUUCCAAUCAAGAGCCAGAAUCUAUGCCCCCUCUCCUAGCCUGGGACUCUUCUAGCUGGUGGAAGCUAUGCUGUGUGAACCCCCAAUGCUAGAUUAGAAAAGGCCAUUCAUCUUCCACCUUGUUUCUAGAACAUUUGCUCUUGGGAUGCUGAGCCCCCACGCAAGCAGUAUGCCUCCCUGGAGGCUGCCAUGUUGCAAGGAAGCCCAAGCCACAUGGGGACACCAUGUUUAGACCCUCUGGUGGAUAGUCCCAGCUGAGAUUAAUCUUUGAGCCUUUCCAGGAAGACAUCAAACAUGGAAACGAAGAAGUCUCCAGAUGAUUCGGUCCCCCAGGGAUUUGAGUCACCCCCGGCACCAUACCUCUUCCUAGAGGGAGCCCUUCAGACACUAUGUGGUUGUGUCCUACCUGAGUUCCUGACCCACGGUACCAAUGAAUGUAACAGACUGGUCUUUGCUUUAUGUCGCUAAGUUUUGGGGUCAUUUGCUAUAUAGCAAUAGGUAACUGGGACACACGGGUGGGUAAGGGGGCUCCAUCCCGCUGGAGACCUUCUCAGGAACACUGAAAGUGUGCAUUCUCACUGUCUGCAGAUUCACUGGGAGGGGAAUGAUUACUCACUGACACUCAUCCCAAGCUGGCACUGUUUAUAUUUCCAUUAUGGUCUGCAUGGAUAUUUUCUCCAGAUAGUUCACAACUAGACCUUCCACUCCAUCAGAUCUUUGCACAAAUGUAGCCUUCUCGGGCAGGUUGUUCCUGCCCGUCCUUGUUAAGCUGCACCCUCUUGGCACGUAUCUCUCCUUCUGGUUUUAUUUAUCCCCACGGCACCUAAUGCCCUCCAAUAAUCUUUAUUUGGGUUACCCCUGUCUUCCCCUAAUUAGACUCCACAAGGGUAAUAAUGUGUGUCACUUUGCUCAACGCUUUAUCUUUGGCUCCCAGAAAAGUGCCCAGCAUCUAGUAGGCACUCUAAAAAAAUUUACUGAAUGAAGUAAACAAAAUUUAUUGCCUGAAAUUCAUUGCCUCGUUUACCGUUUAUCCUUCCCUGAAAGACAGAGAAACACAGUGUGCAUGAUUGUUAAUGUCUGGCAGAAAAAGAUACAUAAUUGAAAUAAAGGUUUCCAAUUUUUUGGAAAUUUCAAAUGAAUGCUACUUGAACUGGACUUCCUUUUCCGGGCCCACUCUUUUUCUUCUCAUUGUGAGCUCAAAACGUUGACUCUAGCUUAGCUUUUUAUUCCUUCUCAAAUACUGGCUUUAGUUCCUGGGUGGCCCCAUUGUCUACAAGAGACAUUUUAACAUGAUACGUUCAAGGUUACCGAUGCUAUUUUAAAUGUUUCUUAAAAAUUAUUUUGGUUUGGCAAGAUUCGGAAUCCAGAAACACAUUCUGUUAUGCAUUCUCUUACUUACUAUUUACAUAUUUCUUUAAAAAAACCAGUGAUUUUCGUUCUGUCUUAGAGUUACAUUCAUGCCUUUCUUUAUUGCCUCACGACACAAAAAUAUGUUUAAAAGGGACCUGCUUCCCCAGUGGCCCCUAAGUAAGUAUUUUCCAUCAGUUGAUACAUCUGCUAUUAGUGUAUGAAAUCGGCUUUUAUCCAGAGGCACACAAAUGAACCUUUGCACUACCUAUCACAACGUGUGUAUCUUAGGGGAGAAAAAGGCCUUCAAACAUUCAUAUCUUCCCAAGCCACACGUCCCAAGGACCAGGAUCGUCUUGAGAGAAAGAUAAGGCAGGCUUCGCAAAGAAUGUAAAAUCACUUCUUCACUCAGGCUGGAACUUUGCUUAUGUGAAUAACGAACACUCCUCCUUUGUGCGACUGAAUACGUGUGACAGGGAAGAAGCCGCCCGGCACGGGUCCACAUGCACCUGCUUGGUUUUCAUUAUUUUCCGCCAGGGGAAAUGUACGAUUUCCCCACAGCAGGGAGGCCCGCGAUUGUGACACACGGGCUCCCGGAUGCCGUCGGGAGGCUUCCUGAGGAGGCCUCGUGGCUGCGACACGGGAGGCCCCGCCGCGGGCAGCGCCCGUCCCCUGCUUCUCUCUGGCUGUGAGGUUGCAGGUGGGCGGCCGGCGGGGGGCCGGUGGCCGCGGCACCUGCAGGGUCGGCGCCCGGGGCUCAGCUGCGGGCCAAGGCGGAGCUCCGCCGGGCCAGGUCCCUGCUCUGGCUCCGCCCAGAAGUUGGACUCAUGAAGGAAAGCCUGCCCCUGCCUCCCGGGAACCCUCUGUCUACAUCCAGGCCCUGGCUGUGACACCGGCCACAUGGUGACAGAGGGCACAGGCCCUGUCUUUGAGAACCGGAGGCUGGGAAAGAGGCAUGUGAAGAGAUGAUUAAGGUACAGACGAGGAAGGUCAUGGCGAAAGAAACAACAGCUGUGGGAUCGCAGGUCUGAGUGACCGUCUGGCCACCUUCUCAGGGUGUCUCUGUCUGCCUCCCUCCGGCAGCUCCGUCCAGAAGCCUCUGGACCAGAGUCACCCCUCCUCCCUCCCUCUCUGUCUUCCCAACCCCAAUCUGGCAGGUGAGUCACAUCAGCCACCCCUCAGCUCAAAGGUGGCCCGAGGCUUUUGAUCUCCCUUAGAGUGAAAGCCAGGGACAUGACAGGGAGUUAUGGACUGAAUGUCUGUGUCCCCCAAGCUCGUAUGUUGAAACCCUACCCAACAUGGUGGUGUUAGGAGCUGGGGCCUUUGGAGAUUGGACCACGAGGGUAGAGGCCCCGUGGGUGGGAUUCGUGCCCUUGUAAGAGUCACAAGAGACCUUCCUCGUCUUCUCUCCUUCCUGCCACGUGAGGAUCCAGGAAGUCUGCAGUCUGAAGAGGCACCAGAACCGGCCUCUGCUGGCACCACGACGUCAGACUUCCAGCCUCCAGAACCGUGGGAAUACAUUUCUGAUGUUCGUAAGCCACCCCACCUAUGGUGCUUUGUUAGAACAGCUCCAGCUGGCCAACACACAAGGAUCCUCAGAGCCCUGGAGGACCUCGUUCCUUCCUCCUCAUUUUCUGCUUGUCUUGCAAUCGGACGCCAGGUCGAUGCCAAAGAGAGACAGCUUGUUGACCAGAACACGAGAGGCCCUGGCCUCUCCAACACAGAACAGCCAGAGCAGAACAUUCUUUUCCUUGAACAGCGACCAAGCGCGUGAGGAAAUCCCUAUUGUGGUCACUGCAAACAUCGCUAUUCUAGAACAGUGCGUGUGUUACGACUACUGCUGGCUUGUUUGAUGUUUUGACAGAAUAACUAUACUGUUUUGAAUGGUAGCUUCAUACACAGGAAGCAGGUUACCGCCAGCUUCUUGUCUCCCAAGUGUGAGGGAGACACAACAGGAGGGAGGCUCCCCGCCCUUGGUCACCUGACAGGUGGAACGAAGGUAGGCUUGGUUCCCUUAGAGGCAGCCUCGGAGGAGACGGUCCAGGCUGGAUGCUCCUCAGCAUUGCUUACCCACAGCUCAGUCCAGUUGGGGCCCCAGAGCCCUGCUCCAGGGUGCUGGGGCUCAGCCGGCAGGGAGCAGGGACAGGGUCCCACCUUUGUAGGACUAGGCCCAGGCCUGAGGACAAGAGGGAGGGCUCCCGAAGGCUGGCCGGAGCAGUGCUCUUGGCUGGUUCCAUGUUCCUGUCAUGGAGACUGAGGACAGAACGACGGAAAGCCGGGCAGGACUUUUCAGCUUCCACGUGGCAUGCCCAACGGCCCAGUCUGCUUUUUGUCCUGUUUUCUUUCUUUUUUACGGAAUGUUUCGUAAAGAGUAGAACCCGCUUCGAGCAAUACGGGUAUUUUAGGGUUUUUUUUUUUUUUUUCUCUUCCGGUUUUAAUUUCACAAGUAAUAUAAAAAGAUUUUAUUAAAAUGGAGGUAGUUUGUAAGUGUGUAGGGUAAAAAUAUCCCCCUCUUCCACGAUUCCACCCCCUCCCCCUGCUAGACUCUAUUCUUAUUUCAAUAUGAGUUUUUCUAGCUUAUUUUAUAUGCACAUGCCUCUAUACGUGUGGGCAUGUAAACGUACGUAAGAUAUGCAUACAUAUAAUUAUUCUUUACUUAUUCUUUGCAAAAUAGAUGCCUUGGAUGUAAUGGUCUGUGAGUACAUACUGGCUUCUCUCCUUUAACUGAUGACAUAGUCAUAUAGACUAUGGAUGGGCCACUUACCAUCGUGUUGUAGAUAUGUGGAUAUUUCCCAUUUAUUUGUGUACUCAUUCAUGUACUUUUGCUGUUAUAAAUAUUACCCAUAGAGAACAUCUUUGGGCAUAUAUUUUUAAAUAUUUAAUGGCAUCCUUCGCUAUGCAGAGGUUUUAAAGUUUAAUGUAGUAAAUUGCAAGAGACACUCAAUUGGAACUGAUUUGAGCAAGAGUAAAAUGUGUUGACUCAUAUAACUGAAAACCUCAGAGGUCAGUCUCCAGGUACCGAUGGAGUCAGGGGCUCCAACAGUGUCAUCAGGACCCUGUUAACUUGAGCUCUGUUCAUGAUGGUGUCAUUCCGGGGAUCUCUGGGACGGUAAGAGCCCGGUAGCUCCCAAACCAUCCAUAUUUCUGGUCCGCUUAAAAAAAAAAAAAAAAAGAAUUGACUAGAAUAAUGAUACCUCAGUCUAGAGAGUAGUUAAAAUACUAACCCCCCCUCCCCACCCCACCUCUCCACACAUAACAAAACCAAAGGUAGUUAGUUCUGGGAGUGAUUCAGUAACACUAACUGACCCCCUCUAGAGACUGGGGGGCUGUGCUGUGCUGGCGGGAAUAAGGGCUGUGGGAGCCGCGGGGUUGACCUCCAGCAGCACCUGCCCCCGGGAGCAUCUCUCCCAAUCGCUCCUGUCCCAGAAACGGGAUCGUGUCACGUGCUCAUCCUGGACCGCUUCCGGGUCGGGGGGCUUUGCCAGCCGAUUGGCUGGGCCGGGUCACAUGCUCCCCCCGUACACCUGCCGCGGAGCUGAUCCUGAACGCCGUGAACGGACAACGGGAGAGUGUCUGUUUAUUGGGGUGUGGAACCAGAAGGUGGGGUGGGGGGACGCGUGCUGAAAACUCAGCACAGGAAGUUCAUACCAGGGAAGCCGCACGAACGUGGCCUCAUCCUGUUCGGAAUAUACUAUCAGUUUCUGAGAGUGAGUUUCCGAUAAAAAUAAACUCAGCCAAGUGUUAAAAGUUAAACAAAGAAGAGGCUGAUUUAGAAACGCGGGAAGAUUCACACUCUUGAUACUUAAGCUCUGGGAUCCUUUGAAGAAAAGCUUACCGGUAAGAGUUUCUACAAUUUCAUUAACUCUGGGGAGACAACGAAUGCAAAUGUUAUCGUCCCCUUUCUUCCCGUUUUAAAAGCAGUAAGUGCUUUGUCCCCGGGCCCACCUGCUUCUGCCAUUGCAUUUGGGUUCUUGGAAAGAGCCUGCAUCUCAGGACCUGCAGAGAAUUCCUUUUCCACUGUCCCGUGUCAGCUGUCAUGUGGCACCGUGUGACUCAGGCUGGGACAACCACCCCUAGCUAGGGACUCUACCGAGCGAUGGUGGCUGUGUCUUGCUUGACCCUGGGCCCUUUGCAGGUGGUUCCCUCCCGCCUGGCUCUUGGGGGGGGGCCUGGUCUCGGGGGCCCUGCCAGGCCGCCAUGGCGUCGAUCUUUCAGACCCCAAGAUUCCAGGCUCAAGGCGCGGCCAUCAUUAAUGUCCCAGAUUUGAGCACCACUGAUACAAUAAGCCAACGCCCAGGGGACAGAGUAAACUUGGGGAGAAGCAGACACCCCAGUGUGACAUGGGGGCCGCGGAGAUCACAACUCUGGAGACAGGUAGCUUGGGUUUGAAUCUUGGUUUGGCUUGCUUCACUGUGUGACCUUGGACAAGAGAGCCCCCUCAGCGUGCUUGGGUCCCUUUGUCCAGAGAGCUGGAGAGUAACAGUACUUACCCCAUGGGGUUGAUAAGUGACUUCGGUGAGAUACUUCCCAGGAGCGGGCUAGUAGCAGCGGACGUGCCAUGUACGGUUUGUCAAGAAAACCCCCAAGUCGUCUUGUCUCCUGUGUGUUGUUGACCCUCCGAUGGCCCCUAAAACAGAAAAGCUUCCCAUCAGUGACGUUCCACUCCUUCACCCUGGGAAGAGGUCAGCUGGGGCCCCCGCCAAGGGCCACACAGCUGGGGUGGAGGCAGCUGGACUUCAGCCCGAGUCCUGGGCCCGACUCCACGGCCGUGACUUUCCCCAAACACGCGGCCCUCCCGCUCCCCCGCCCCCGUGUUAUUCCGUCACUCUAAAAAAAUAAAUAACAGGCUCCGGCUGAGCUAGUUGGACGCCCUCCGCUCUAUUUACUUUCCAGCAUCUGCUUCAUAAACCGUUGGACGUCCGUGUUCAUUUUCCUUAUUGCUGUUAACCUCGCCUUCCAAUUAUGCAGAAUGUUCAGGCGCAGCGGCCCCCCUAUUCCAGGGGCCCCGUCUCUGGCUGACAUUUGCUGCUGUGUAUCUUGGCUUUGACCGACAAAGGCAGCGACUUGUCACGUUGGUCCCAUUUUCUUCAAAGUGCAGACGACUCCAUGACCAGACGGGUGUCUGGGGGGCCCCGGGGCUCCGGGGGCUGCCGAACAGCUAUUGGGUUCCGAAAAAAAUUGUAACACGAGCCAAUUGGUGACGAUAAUUUGUGGAAGAGGUACCGAUAGGCCAGGAAUUGGCUCGCGUCACCGGUUUUAACUUGAAUCGUAUGGAAGACGGAUGAGCCGAGUCAGGCCUGUCGUGCAGCAGAAAAUACUGCAAUGUCACACGGAACAAUAAAGGUGCGAAAGCUGAGCAGAAACAGAUGUUCUUCCAGAAAUUAGCUGUUCGCUACGUGCCUUUCUCUUGUUGAUGUUAUCACUACGAGAUCCAGAAUCAUCCCACGGCAAGGAAACACGGCCGCUAGCUGGGGAGCUGUCUGCCGCUUCAUCAGAUCCACUCAUGAACUUGACACAUGGCUUGUGCUGCUCAGCAAGACAAGGGGAAUCAUAUCUCUGCUGUUGCUCGCAGCAUGUUAGGACGAGAGGCCAGCUUGGGGUGCUGACCACAGGGUGUGCAGCCACCCAAUACGGCCAGGACCUUCGGCACCGUGUUCUCUGUUUUUCCAAACCCAAAAGACAGUCUACUAAGCCCAACACCACCCCUCUGGACUCUGGCGCCCAGGGCUUCCUCCCAGGACCACGAGACGUUUCCUGGCAGAGGAAAGGGUGCCUUUGCUACCUGAUGUCGUUCUUCUCUUUGCAAAAGGCUGCUGCUGUGUUAAUUUCAGAUACAAGUUGGUAAGGAAGCGCCCUGGUGAUCCACUCCACAUCAUGAACAUGUCCUAUCAAGAGUGACCACUGCUGGGGCGCCUGGAUGGCUCAGUCACUUAAAGCGUCCGACUUCGGCCCAGGUCUUGAUCGCAUGGCUCAUGAGUUCAAGCCUCAUGUCAGGCUCUGGGCUGACAGCUCGGAGCCCGGAG